Phrynosoma platyrhinos (Desert horned lizard) is the source of this 74-nucleotide non-coding RNA. The record is from the annotation of a GenBank genome assembly. NCBI's taxonomy places the organism in Eukaryota, Metazoa, Chordata, Lepidosauria, Squamata, Phrynosomatidae.
CCAGCUGUGGUAUAGUGUUUUGAGUGUCAGACUAGGACUCUGGAGAGCAGGGUUCGAAUCCCCACUUGGUUGUG